GACGAACGCUGGCGGCGUGCUUAACACAUGCAAGUCGAACGGAAAGGCCCUUCGGGGUACUCGAGUGGCGAACGGGUGAGUAACACGUGGGUGAUCUGCCCUGCACUCUGGGAUAAGCCUGGGAAACUGGGUCUAAUACCGGAUAGGACCACACACUUCAUGGUGAGUGGUGCAAAGCUUUUGCGGUGUGGGAUGAGCCCGCGGCCUAUCAGCUUGUUGGUGGGGUAAUGGCCCACCAAGGCGACGACGGGUAGCCGGCCUGAGAGGGUGACCGGCCACACUGGGACUGAGAUACGGCCCAGACUCCUACGGGAGGCAGCAGUGGGGAAUAUUGCACAAUGGGCGCAAGCCUGAUGCAGCGACGCCGCGUGAGGGAUGACGGCCUUCGGGUUGUAAACCUCUUUCAGUAGGGACGAAGCGAAAGUGACGGUACCUACAGAAGAAGGACCGGCCAACUACGUGCCAGCAGCCGCGGUAAUACGUAGGGUCCGAGCGUUGUCCGGAAUUACUGGGCGUAAAGAGCUCGUAGGUGGUUUGUCGCGUUGUUCGUGAAAACUCACAGCUUAACUGUGGGCGUGCGGGCGAUACGGGCAGACUAGAGUACUGCAGGGGAGACUGGAAUUCCUGGUGUAGCGGUGGAAUGCGCAGAUAUCAGGAGGAACACCGGUGGCGAAGGCGGGUCUCUGGGCAGUAACUGACGCUGAGGAGCGAAAGCGUGGGUAGCGAACAGGAUUAGAUACCCUGGUAGUCCACGCCGUAAACGGUGGGUACUAGGUGUGGGUUUCCUUCCUUGGGAUCCGUGCCGUAGCUAACGCAUUAAGUACCCCGCCUGGGGAGUACGGUCGCAAGACUAAAACUCAAAGGAAUUGACGGGGGCCCGCACAAGCGGCGGAGCAUGUGGAUUAAUUCGAUGCAACGCGAAGAACCUUACCUGGGUUUGACAUGCACAGGACGUACCUAGAGAUAGGUAUUCCCUUGUGGCCUGUGUGCAGGUGGUGCAUGGCUGUCGUCAGCUCGUGUCGUGAGAUGUUGGGUUAAGUCCCGCAACGAGCGCAACCCUUGUCCUAUGUUGCCAGCGGGUAAUGCCGGGGACUCGUAGGAGACUGCCGGGGUCAACUCGGAGGAAGGUGGGGAUGACGUCAAGUCAUCAUGCCCCUUAUGUCCAGGGCUUCACACAUGCUACAAUGGCCAGUACAGAGGGCUGCGAAGCCGCAAGGUGGAGCGAAUCCCUUAAAGCUGGUCUCAGUUCGGAUUGGGGUCUGCAACUCGACCCCAUGAAGUCGGAGUCGCUAGUAAUCGCAGAUCAGCAACGCUGCGGUGAAUACGUUCCCGGGCCUUGUACACACCGCCCGUCACGUCAUGAAAGUCGGUAACACCCGAAGCCAGUGGCCUAACCUUUUGGAGGGAGCUGUCGAAGGUGGGAUCGGCGAUUGGGACG
Molecule: ribosomal RNA, 1438 nt
Filed under: Mycobacteroides chelonae
Lineage: Bacteria; Bacillati; Actinomycetota; Actinomycetes; Mycobacteriales; Mycobacteriaceae
Also listed under: 1 other name
Description: bacterial SSU rRNA
Rfam family: Bacterial small subunit ribosomal RNA
Source: RNAcentral